AUGCGUCAGGUCCUUGAUAGGCGACCCCAAGCCUGCUACUGCUCUGAGGCUCCUCCCUCGACCCUGCCGUGCCGGCUGACUCCGGCCACCUCCCUGACUCCCACCCCAGAGGGACCUGGGCCUGCCCUUGGGGCUGGACACCAGCUGUCCUUCCUGGGCUCUGGGUGUUGGCAGGCGUGGCACACAGCUGCUCAGGGCGUCCACUGCACAGGGGCAGCUGAGCAGCCAAGUGGGUGGGGCAGUGUGCCCUACAGGAGCGACGCACGUGGUAGGCCCUGCAGAGUCACGCAGGCCUGGCCACGCCUGCAGAUGCACACGUCUCCCUGCCUCUGUCUGUCUGUCUCCCUGCCUCUGUCUCUCUGUCUCCGUCUGUGUCUCCCUGUCUCCGACUGUCUUCUGUCUCCCUGUCUCCAUCUGUCUUCUGUCUCCGUCUGUCUGUCUCCCUGCCUCCGUCUGUCUGUCUCCCUGUCUCCAUCUGUGUCUCCCCAUCUCCGUCUGUCUUCUGUCUCCGUCUGUCUUCUGUCUCCGUCUGUCUGUCUUCUGUCUCCGUCUGUCGGUCUCCCUGUCUCCAUCUGUGUCUCCCUGUCUCCGACUGUCUUCUGUCUCCCUGUCUCCGACUGUCUUCUGUCUCCCUGUCUCCAUCUGUCUUCUGUCUCUGUCUGUCUGUCUGUCUCCAUCUGUCUGUCUCUCUGCCUCCGUCUGUCUGUCUCCCUGUCUCCAUCUGUGUCUCCCUGUCUCCGACUGUCUUCUGUCUCCCUGUCUCCAUCUGUCUUCUGUCUCUGUCUGUCUGUCUGUCUCCAUCUGUCUGUCUCUCUGCCUCCGUCUGUCUGUCUCCCUGUCUCCACCUGUGUCUCCCUGUCUCUGUCUGUCUUCUGUCUCCGUUUGUCUGUCUUCUGUCUCCAUCUGUCUGUCUCCCUGCCUCCGUCACUCCCUCUCCCCUGGCCCCCAGCCCACACCCGUUCUACACUCUGCUCCGCCCAACCUCCCACUGAUGCCUGUUCUUCUCUGUGGAAGCUGAGGCUCACACAGCUGGUCCCCAGCCCUCCCCUGCUAGCAGGGGACACACCAGCCCUGCAUGGGUGGAUGACUGCUGGACCAAGGGCUGGGUACACCCUGGGAACACUGGCCAGGCCUGCAGUGGGAACAGGAAGAGGUGACCACCUCAGGCUGAGCCCUCCUACCGUCUGUGUCCCCGCACUUCCCUUGGCCCUUUGUCCCGAAGCCCAGUCACUGACCGCGGCCUGGAGCCUCAGCCCCACCCCCGUCACAGGAAGGGGCAUGGGGAGCCAUGUGCAGGGGCUGGGAGGGCUUGGUCCCCUGCGAAUGCCCGUGUCCCCACUGGUGGGCGCAUGA
This 1353-nucleotide long non-coding RNA is filed under the name Oryctolagus cuniculus (rabbit). RNAcentral describes it as "lncRNA (ENSOCUG00000031514.1)". The record is from RNAcentral. Lineage: Eukaryota; Metazoa; Chordata; Mammalia; Lagomorpha; Leporidae.